This 240-nucleotide long non-coding RNA is filed under the name Panax ginseng (ginseng). Its description in RNAcentral is "long non-coding RNA (PGIN_LNC008850)". Lineage: Eukaryota; Viridiplantae; Streptophyta; Magnoliopsida; Apiales; Araliaceae. The record is from RNAcentral.
GUGGCUCCCCAACACUGCUUGCGAUUUUGACAGCCUCUAGAGCUUGGUGACAGCCAAUGAUACCAGGAACUGUAGAUUAAAAAGAAAGUACUGUUAUAAAAUAACUAACCCAGGUCUAACUUUAUCAGCAUAUAGACUACACUAAUGGCAGAACCAAGAUAGUUAGUGGGUGUUAACAGAACUUAGCUCAGCAACCAAUGCAUGUCGAUGAACAGGAUAUCGAGGCAUAAUUUCCUGCUU